CUCAUACUAUAUGGAACGUUCUUUUUAGCGCUCGUGAAGUAAUUACUUAUUCAAAAUACGUACUCAAGUGAGUAUGUGAUUUUGGACGCAGCCGAAAAGUCCAUCAGGUCGCACCAGAAGUAGCAGGCCCUCCUCACUGAAAUGAGUUACACAUAAAAGCCGUUCUGAGAAACACAGUGGAAGAGGCACUGCCUCCCUUGCCUCCUCGGAGAAAACGCCC
Molecule: long non-coding RNA, 220 nt
Organism: Megalobrama amblycephala (Wuchang bream)
Lineage: Eukaryota; Metazoa; Chordata; Actinopteri; Cypriniformes; Xenocyprididae
Exons: 3
Source: RefSeq, a predicted model, not a curated record